UACAGAGGUCUCAAGCGUUGUUCGGAUUCAUUGGGCGUAAAGGGUGCGUAGGCGGCGCGGUAAGUCGGGUGUGAAAGCUCGGAGCUCAACUCCGAAAUGGCAUUGGAAACUACCUUGCUCGAGGGUUGGAGGGGGGACUGGAAUGCUUGGUGUAGCAGUGAAAUGCGUAGAUAUCAAGCGGAACACCAGUGGCGAAGGCGAGUCCCUGGACAACUCCUGACACUGAGGCACGAAAGCUAGGGGAGCAAACAGG
RNAcentral lists this ribosomal RNA (253 nucleotides) under uncultured bacterium. Its description in RNAcentral is "partial 16S ribosomal RNA". It matches the Rfam family "Bacterial small subunit ribosomal RNA", at positions 524 to 776 of the family's 1533-position model. The record is from RNAcentral.